This 786-nucleotide ribosomal RNA is filed under the name uncultured bacterium. RNAcentral describes it as "bacterial SSU rRNA". It matches the Rfam family "Bacterial small subunit ribosomal RNA", at positions 29 to 796 of the family's 1533-position model. The record is from RNAcentral.
ACGAACGCUGGCGGCAUGCCUAAUACAUGCAAGUCGAGCGAAUGACGAAGAAGCUUGCUUCUUCUGAUUUAGCGGCGGACGGGUGAGUAACACGUGGGCAACCUGCCCUGUAGAUUGGGAUAACUCCGGGAAACCGGGGCUAAUACCGAAUAAUCCAUUUCCUCUCAUGGGGAGAUGUUAAAAGACGGUUUCGGCUGUCACUACAGGAUGGGCCCGCGGCGCAUUAGCUAGUUGGUGAGGUAACGGCUCACCAAGGCGACGAUGCGUAGCCGACCUGAGAGGGUGAUCGGCCACACUGGGACUGAGACACGGCCCAGACUCCUACGGGAGGCAGCAGUAGGGAAUCUUCCACAAUGGACGAAAGUCUGAUGGAGCAAUGCCGCGUGAGUGAAGAAGGUUUUCGGAUCGUAAAACUCUGUUGUGAGGGAAGAACAAGUACGAGAGUAACUGCUCGUACCUUGACGGUACCUCAUUAGAAAGCCACGGCUAACUACGUGCCAGCAGCCGCGGUAAUACGUAGGUGGCAAGCGUUGUCCGGAAUUAUUGGGCGUAAAGCGCGCGCAGGCGGUCCUUUAAGUCUGAUGUGAAAUCCCACGGCUCAACCGUGGAAGGUCAUUGGAAACUGGGGGACUUGAGUACAGAAGAGGAAAGCGGAAUUCCAAGUGUAGCGGUGAAAUGCGUAGAGAUUUGGAGGAACACCAGUGGCGAAGGCGGCUUUCUGGUCUGUAACUGACGCUGAGGAGCGAAAGCAUGGGGAGCGAACAGGAUUAGAUACCCUGGUAGUCC